Molecule: ribosomal RNA, 464 nt
Filed under: uncultured bacterium
Lineage: Bacteria
Description: bacterial SSU rRNA
Rfam family: Bacterial small subunit ribosomal RNA
Source: RNAcentral
GGACUCGCACAAGCGGUGGAGCAUGCGGUUUAAUUCGAUGCAACGCGAAGAACCUUACCAGGUCUUGACAUCCCGUUGACCGGGCUAGAGAUAGUCCUUCCCUUCGGGGCAACGGAGACAGGUGGUGCAUGGUUGUCGUCAGCUCGUGUCGUGAGAUGUUGGGUUAAGUCCCACAACGAGCGCAACCCUUAUCAUUAGUUGCUAACAUUAAGUUGAGAACUCUAAUGAGACCGCCGGUGAUAAACCGGAUGAAGGUGGGGAUGACGUCAAAUCAUCAUGCCCCUUAUGACCUGGGCUACACGCGUGCUACAAUGGCUAGUACAAAGAGUCGCAAUACCGUGAGGUGGAGCUAAUCUCAUAAAACUAGUCUCAGUUCGGAUUGUAGUCUGCAACUCGACUACAUGAAGUUGGAAUCGCUAGUAAUCGCAAAUCAGCAUGUUGCGGUGAAUACGUUCUCGAGUCUU